UGGUGGAGUGAUUUGUCUGGUUAAUUCCGUUAACGAACGAGACCUCAGCCUAUUAAUUAGUUUGCCCAAUUCUUUAUUGGCGUAAACAUCUUAGAGGGACUAUCGGUUCUUAUCCGGAGGAAGUAUGAGGCAAUAACA
Molecule: ribosomal RNA, 138 nt
Filed under: uncultured eukaryote
Lineage: Eukaryota
Description: partial 18S ribosomal RNA
Rfam family: Eukaryotic small subunit ribosomal RNA
Source: RNAcentral